Molecule: ribosomal RNA, 406 nt
Filed under: uncultured bacterium
Lineage: Bacteria
Description: partial 16S ribosomal RNA
Rfam family: Bacterial small subunit ribosomal RNA
Source: RNAcentral
AUUGAACGCUGGCGGCAGGCCUAACACAUGCAAGUCGAGCGAGCGGCGGACGGGUGAGUAAUGUCUGGGGAUCUGCCCGAUAGAGGGGGAUAACUACUGGAAACGGUAGCUAAUCCCGCAUACCAUCGGAUGAGCCCAUAUGGGAUUAGCUAGUAGGUGGGGUAACGGCUCACCUAGGCGACGAUCCCUAGCUGGUCUGAGAGGAUGAGAAGCCACAGUGGGACUGAGAAACGGCCAAGAGUCCUACGGGAGGCAGCAGUGGGGAAUAUGGCACAAGGGGGGCAAGCCUGAUGCAGCCAGGCCGCGUGUAUGAAGAAGGCGUUAGGGUUGUAAAGUACUUUCAGCGGGGAGGCGUUACCCGCAGAAGAAGCACCGGCUAACUCCGUGCCAGCAGCCGCGGUAAUAC